RNAcentral lists this ribosomal RNA (483 nucleotides) under uncultured bacterium. RNAcentral's name for it is "partial 16S ribosomal RNA". It matches the Rfam family "Bacterial small subunit ribosomal RNA", at positions 30 to 506 of the family's 1533-position model. The record is from RNAcentral.
AUUGAACGCUGGCGGCAGGCCUAACACAUGCAAGUCGAGCGGAUGAAGGGAGCUUGCUCCUGGAUUCAGCGGCGGACGGGUGAGCAAUGCCUAGGAAUCUGCCUGGUAGUGGGGGAUAACGUCCGGAAACGGGCGCUAAUACCGCAUACGUCCUGAGGGAGAAAGUGGGGGAUCUUCGGACCUCACGCUAUCAGAUGAGCCUAGGUCGGAUUAGCUAGUUGGUGGGGUAAAGGCCUACCAAGGCGACGAUCCGUAACUGGUCUGAGAGGAUGAUCAGUCACACUGGAACUGAGACACGGCCCAGACUCCUACGGGAGGCAGCAGUGGGGAAUAUUGGACAAUGGGCGAAAGCCUGAUCCAGCCAUGCCGCGUGUGUGAAGAAGGUCUUCGGAUUGUAAAGCACUUUAAGUUGGGAGGAAGGGCAGUAAGUUAAUACCUUGCUGUUUUGACGUUACCAACAGAAUAAGCACCGGCUAACUUCGU